UACGAGUGCCCCAAGCGUUAUCCGGAAUUACUGGGCGUAAAGGAUGUGUAGGCGGCUUCAUUAGUCUUUUGUUAAAGCCUCGGGCUUAACCUGAGAAAUGCAAAAGAAACGGUGAAGCUAAGAGAGUGUGAGAGGCCUGUGGAACUCAUGGUGUAGGGGUGAAAUCCGUUGAUAUCAUGGGGAACACCAAAAGCGAAGGCAGCAGGCUGGCACAUAUCUGACGCUGAGACAUGAAAGCGUGGGUAGCGAACGGG
This 254-nucleotide ribosomal RNA is filed under the name uncultured bacterium. RNAcentral's name for it is "partial 16S ribosomal RNA". It matches the Rfam family "Bacterial small subunit ribosomal RNA", at positions 524 to 776 of the family's 1533-position model. The record is from RNAcentral.